UUACCGUAGGUGAACCUGCGGAAGGAUCAUUACAACAAGGUUCCCUGGCCCUCGAAGCUUCGGCGGAGGGGUGCUACAGCCUGACUUUAUACCCACCCUUUGCCUAUGUGUACCCCUAUUGCUUCCCUCGGCGGGUUCGCCCGCCGACAGGAACCAACUAAACCCUUUGCAUUAUACAUUUAACACUUCCGAUACAAAACUAAAUUAUUACAACUUUUAACAAUGGAUCUCUUGGUUCUG
RNAcentral lists this unclassified non-coding RNA (240 nucleotides) under plant metagenome. Its description in RNAcentral is "partial contains small subunit ribosomal RNA, internal transcribed spacer 1, and 5.8S ribosomal RNA". The record is from RNAcentral.